This 490-nucleotide ribosomal RNA is filed under the name uncultured bacterium. Its description in RNAcentral is "partial 16S ribosomal RNA". It matches the Rfam family "Bacterial small subunit ribosomal RNA", at positions 30 to 523 of the family's 1533-position model. The record is from RNAcentral.
AUUGAACGCUGGCGGCAUGCCUUACACAUGCAAGUCGAACGGGGGUAGCAAUACCCUAGUGGCGAACGGGUGAGUAAAGCAUCGGAACGUACCCAGUUGUGGGGGAUAAGGUAGCGAAAGUUACGCUAAUACCGCAUACGCACUGAGGUGGAAAGCGGGGGACCUUUGGGCCUCGCGCAAUUGGAGCGGCCGAUGUCGGAUUAGCUAGUGGGUGAGGUAAAAGCUCACCAAGGCGACGAUCCGUAGCUGGUCUGAGAGGAUGAUCAGCCACACUGGGACUGAGACACGGCCCAGACUCCUACGGGAGGCAGCAGUGGGGAAUUUUGGACAAUGGGCGAAAGCCUGAUCCAGCCAUGCCGCGUGAGUGAAGAAGGCCUUCGGGUUGUAAAGCUCUUUCAGACGGAAAGAAAUAGCCUCGGUGAAUAUCCGGGGUUGAUGACGGUACCGUAAGAAGAAGCACCGGCUAACUACGUGCCAGCCGCCGCCGUAA